Molecule: non-coding RNA, 104 nt
Organism: Acanthosepion pharaonis
Lineage: Eukaryota; Metazoa; Mollusca; Cephalopoda; Sepiida; Sepiidae
Source: the annotation of a GenBank genome assembly
AUCACGUUGAAACAUUGGUUCCCGUACGAUCACUGAAGCUAAGCAAUGUCUAGACUUGUCUGUACCUAGAUAGGUGACCGCUUGGGAUUACCAGGUGCUGUAAG